UACAGCGGGUGCGAGCGUUGUCCGGAAUCACUGGGCGUAAAGGGCGCGUAGGUGGCGCGACAAGUCAGUGGUGAAAGCUCGACGCUCAACGUCGAGUCGGCCACUGAUACUGUUGGGCUUGAGCACUGUAGAGGCUAAUGGAAUUCCGGGUGUAGCGGUGGAAUGCGUAGAGAUCCGGAAGAACACCGGUGGCGAAGGCGAUUAGCUGGGCAGUUGCUGACACUGAGGCGCGACAGCGUGGGGAGCAAACAGG
This 253-nucleotide ribosomal RNA is filed under the name uncultured bacterium. Its description in RNAcentral is "partial 16S ribosomal RNA". It matches the Rfam family "Bacterial small subunit ribosomal RNA", at positions 524 to 776 of the family's 1533-position model. The record is from RNAcentral.